This 441-nucleotide ribosomal RNA is filed under the name uncultured bacterium. RNAcentral describes it as "partial 16S ribosomal RNA". It matches the Rfam family "Bacterial small subunit ribosomal RNA", at positions 338 to 795 of the family's 1533-position model. The record is from RNAcentral.
CCUACGGGAGGCAGCAGUGGGGGAUAUUGCACAAUGGGGGAAACCCUGAUGCAGCGACGCCGCGUGGGUGAAGAAGUAUUUCGGUAUGUAAAGCCCUAUCAGCAGGGAAGAAAGAAGACGGUACCUGACUAAGAAGCCCCGGCUAACUACGUGCCAGCAGCCGCGGUAAUACGUAGGGGGCGAGCGUUAUCCGGAUUCACUGGGUGUAAAGGGAGCGUAGACGGCCGUGCAAGCCAGGAGUGAAAGCCCGGGGCCCAACCCCGGGACUGCUCUUGGAACUGUGCGGCUGGAGUGCGGGAGGGGCAGGCGGAAUUCCUGGUGUAGCGGUGAAAUGCGUAGAUAUCAGGAGGAACACCGGCGGCGAAGGCGGCCUGCUGGACCGCGACUGACGUUGAGGCGCGAAAGCGUGGGGAGCGAACAGGAUUAGAUACCCGAGUAGUC